GAUGAACGCUGGCGGCGUGCCUAAUACAUGCAAGUCGAGCGAACGGACGAGAAGCUUGCUUCUCUGAUGUUAGCGGCGGACGGGUGAGUAACACGUGGAUAACCUACCUAUAAGACUGGGAUAACUUCGGGAAACCGGAGCUAAUACCGGAUAAUAUUUUGAACCGCAUGGUUCAAAAGUGAAAGGCGGUCUUGCUGUCACUUAUAGAUGGAUCCGCGCUGCAUUAGCUAGUUGGUAAGGUAACGGCUUACCAAGGCAACGAUGCAUAGCCGACCUGAGAGGGUGAUCGGCCACACUGGAACUGAGACACGGUCCAGACUCCUACGGGAGGCAGCAGUAGGGAAUCUUCCGCAAUGGGCGAAAGCCUGACGGAGCAACGCCGCGUGAGUGAUGAAGGUCUUCGGAUCGUAAAACUCUGUUAUUAGGGGAGAACAUAUGUGUAAGUAACUGUGCACAUCUUGACGGUACCUAAUCAGAAAGCCACGGCUAACUACGUG
RNAcentral lists this ribosomal RNA (497 nucleotides) under uncultured bacterium. RNAcentral's name for it is "partial 16S ribosomal RNA". It matches the Rfam family "Bacterial small subunit ribosomal RNA", at positions 28 to 507 of the family's 1533-position model. The record is from RNAcentral.